AGUGAACGCUGGCGGUAGGCCUAACACAUGCAAGUCGAACGGCAGCACAGUAAGAUCUUGCUCUUACGGGUGGCGAGUGGCGGACGGGUGAGGAAUACAUCGGAAUCUACUUUUCGUGGGGGAUCACGUAGGGAAACUUACGCUAAUACCGCAUCCGACCUACGGGUGAAAGCCGAGGAUCUUAGGACCUUUCGCGAUUGAAUGAGCCGAUGUCGGAUUAGCUAGUUGGCGGGGUAAAGGCCCACCAAUGCCACGACGCGUAGCUGGUCUGAGAGGGUGAUCAGCCACACUGGAACUGAGACACGGUCCAGACUCCUACGGGAGGCAGCAGUGGGGAAUAUUGGGCAAUGGGCGCAAGCCUGACGCAGCAAUACCGCGUGAGUGAAGAAGGCCUUCGGGUUGUAAAGCUCUGUUGUUGGGAAAGAAAAGCAGCAGGUGAAUACAUGGCUGUUCUGACGGUACCUAAAGAAUAAGCAACGGCUAACUACGUG
Molecule: ribosomal RNA, 491 nt
Filed under: uncultured bacterium
Lineage: Bacteria
Description: partial 16S ribosomal RNA
Rfam family: Bacterial small subunit ribosomal RNA
Source: RNAcentral